GGCAAGGAGGUAAAAAUGCCGGAAA
Molecule: unclassified non-coding RNA, 25 nt
Filed under: synthetic construct
Description: A-site ASL SufA6 from synthetic construct (PDB 4LSK, chain QX)
Source: RNAcentral